Molecule: long non-coding RNA, 415 nt
Filed under: Chrysolophus pictus (golden pheasant)
Lineage: Eukaryota; Metazoa; Chordata; Aves; Galliformes; Phasianidae
Description: lncRNA (ENSCPIG00010009098.1)
Source: RNAcentral
AACAAGAACAACUGUCACUGUGAUUCGGGAUGGGCCCCUCCGGACUGCAGGGCAGAAGGGUUUGGAGGCAGCGUUGACAGCGGACCACCUCCUUCUUACUAUGUGUACGGAGCUACGGUCAAAGCUGUUGGAACACUGCUUCUUUUCACCCUGAUUUUGGGCGUCCUGCUGUACAAGAGGGCUGAUAUUGCCAAGUGUAUCCGAAGGUGGCAACGUCAAAGAUGGGACAAAAGAAACAACCCCACUCCUCCUCCUCCAGAACUGGAGAGCCCAGAAAAUGCAUAGAAGUCCUCCUGAGCUGUGCAGGGUGCAGGAACCCAAGGUUUGUCUGCAUCCCAGAGGGCUCUGCAGGACCCAGCCCUGCUUCCCAGGCCUGUCCCAUCCAUUUCGCUUUCGUUACGUUUUAAAUAACGAC